CAGUAGCCGCGGUAAGACAGAGGUCCCGAGCGUUGUUCGGAUACAUUGGGCGUAAAGGGUGUGUAGGAGGCCAGGUAAGUCAGGUGUGAAAUCUCAGAGCUUAACUCUGAAACUGCGCUUGAUACUGCUUGGCUAGAGGAUCGGAGGGGGUAACGGAAUUUGUGGUGUAGCAGUGAAAUGCGUAGAUAUCAUAAGGAACACCGGUGGCGAAGGCGGUUACCUGGAAGAUUCCUGACUCUGAAACACGAAAGCCAGGGGAGCGAAUGGAAUUAGAUACCCGCGUAGUCCCUGUCUCUUAUAA
This 301-nucleotide ribosomal RNA is filed under the name uncultured bacterium. RNAcentral describes it as "partial 16S ribosomal RNA". It matches the Rfam family "Bacterial small subunit ribosomal RNA", at positions 509 to 809 of the family's 1533-position model. The record is from RNAcentral.